Molecule: ribosomal RNA, 460 nt
Filed under: uncultured bacterium
Lineage: Bacteria
Description: partial 16S ribosomal RNA
Rfam family: Bacterial small subunit ribosomal RNA
Source: RNAcentral
CCUACGGGUGGCAGCAGUGAGGAAUAUUGGUCAAUGGACGAGAGUCUGAACCAGCCAAGUCGCGUGAAGGAUGACUGCCCUAUGGGUUGUAAACUUCUUUUAUCUGGGAAUAAAACGUUCCACGUGUGGGAUUUUGUAUGUACCAUAUAAAUAAGGAUCGGCUAACUCCGUGCCAGCAGCCGCGGUAAUACGGAGGAUCCGAGCGUUAUCCGUAUUUAUUGGGUUUAAAGGGUGCGUAGGUGGAUUGUUAAGUCAGUUGUGAAAGUUUGCGGCUCAACCGUAAAAUUGCAGUUGAAACUGGCAGUCUUGAGUACAGUAGAGGUGGGCGGAAUGCGUGGUGUAGCGGUGAAAUGCUUAGAUAUCACGAAGAACUCCGAUUGCGAAGGCAGUUCACUGGACUGCAACUGACACUGAGGCUCGAAAGUGUGGGUAUCAAACAGGAUUAGAUACCCGGGUAGUC